RNAcentral lists this ribosomal RNA (439 nucleotides) under uncultured bacterium. Its description in RNAcentral is "bacterial SSU rRNA". It matches the Rfam family "Bacterial small subunit ribosomal RNA", at positions 30 to 465 of the family's 1533-position model. The record is from RNAcentral.
AUUGAACGCUGGCGGAAUGCUUUACACAUGCAAGUCGAACGGCAGCACGGGAGCAAUCCUGGUGGCGAGUGGCGAACGGGUGAGUAAAGUAUCGGAACGUACCUUUCAGUGGGGGAUAACGUAGCGAAAGUUACGCUAAUACCGCAUAUUCUGUGAGCAGGAAAGCAGGGGAUCGCAAGACCUUGCGCUGAUGGAGCGGCCGAUAUCAGAUUAGCUAGUUGGUGAGGUAAAGGCUCACCAAGGCGACGAUCUGUAGCGGGUCUGAGAGGAUGAUCCGCCACACUGGCACUGAGAUACGGGCCAGACUCCUACGGGAGGCAGCAGUAAGGAAUAUUGGUCAAUGGUGGGAACACUGAACCAGCCAUUCCGCGUGAAGGAUGAAUGCCCUCUGGGUUGUAAACUUCUUUAGUCUGGGACGAAAAAGACUUCAUUCAUGAAG